GGAGGGAGCCAGUGCGCCUGGAUCCUGCAGAGUCCUCUUCGCCCUCCGCUCACGUGUGCUGUAAUUGUAGUCCUUGCCAGUAGCGACCGCCCUGGUUGGCGAGCUCCUGGCGCUGUUCACCCGUUAUCUCUGCAGCUGGCCCGGGAGAUCGUAGUCUCCGGCCGAGGGGCGUCGCCGCCCGCAAACGCAGCAGCAGCAGCAGGAGAAGCUGUGAAAGCAGAGGCGGCCGGCGCGCUCGGCAGCUCAAGGUGACUUCUGCCGCACCCGAGCUGGCUGUUUCAGAUAAAUGUAUCCAAUAUGGACCAUCCCUUGGACUGUUUUGGGCUUCUCCUGUGGUUGCUGAUGUUGGUUUAUUUGCCACUGCAAAACGUCCAUGGAUUUUUCCCCAACAUCUGGUAUCGGGGCGUCAGCUUCUCCUGGGGAUCUAUCACCCACCAGGACAUGACUGAAGAUGCAAUUCUGAACAUCACUGUUCGCCUCUUUUCGGAGAUAACUCACCCUACCAAGAGGAAACACAUCCAAGAAGAGGACUUUAAGGGCAAGACCCUAUUGGCUGAUGACAUCUUUGCCGCUUUCUAUGGUCCUGAGGUGUCAGCCAAGCGUUUCCGUGGAGCCAUUGCAGAAGUAGCCAAUGCCAAUGCUGCCAUGGACUUUGGGAAUACGACUCGGGAUGACCCCGUUUUCCACUUUGAUUCAGAGCUCAUUCACUCUGCCAACAGCUGGCUGUUGCAUGUUCGUAAAGAGAUCCUCCAGGCUGUGCAUUCUGAGCAAUAUGGCAUUGCCCGAAAAAAGCUGGGACAGCUGCUCCACUCCUUGCAGGAUUUCUACAGCCACAGUAACUGGGUAGAACUGGGAAAUGAAAGAAUACUUCUGCAUUUGGUUCAGCCGGGCCACGAAAUUCCCCCUGUCGCUGAAGCUGGCAUCCAGACUUGCCACGACUGCUCUGAAUGGACUUGCAAAGAAAAUCUCCUGGACAAUCUUGCUGUUCUCACCACGGGUUACUAUGGUUCCCAUCCCGAAAAGCCUAUUGGGAAGUGCAGUCAUGGUGGGAGGUUUGAUGAGAGUCGCCAUCAAGAACCUCGAGGUGGCAUUAAUAAGGACAGUGCCUCCUCGUUCUUCUCACCUCACCAUUACCUGCACCAGAAGGCAGCUCUGCUGGCCCAAGAAGCCUCCAUACACUUCCUGGAGAAGUUGUGGCGAGAAAUAGGGAGCAGGGAAUUUAUGAGGUUGCUAGAUAUCAGCCCAACCGCAGGCCUGAGCUUUGUUAUGGAUACCACGGGAAGUAUGGGGGAAGAGAUCAGCGCUGCUAAGUUUCAGGCACGGGAGAUCAUCGAACGGCGUCAAGGCACCCCUCAACAGCCAGAUUUUUACCUCUUGGUGCCUUUCCACGAUCCCAGUUUUGGACCAGUCAGUAAGACCAGUGACCCUGAAGAAUUCUGGAAAGUCUUAGACACCAUCAGCCCAUUGGGUGGUGGAGAUGAGCCUGAAAUGUGUCUGUCAGCCUUGGAGCUUGCCCUGCAGAAUUCACCACCCUAUUCUGAGAUCUUUGUCUUUACCGAUGCAUCUGCUAAAGAUGCUCAUCUGAAGAACAGUGUGGAAUCCCUUAUUCAGGAAAAGAAGUGCAAGGUAACCUUCCUAAUCACAGAAGACCCAUCCAAGACUCGAACGAAGCGGGAAACACUUGCCCCAAACCGAUUCGACUUGUACGUUCACUUAGCUGAGAGUUCAGGAGGCCAGAUUAUAUUUACAGACAACGAUAACAUCCGGCGGAUGGCUGAGAUUAUUGGCGAAUCCAGCUUAUCUUCGGUGACUCUCUUUCGUUACCAGAAAGGAAACGUCUUGAGAUCUAAAGGGACUCAACGCAGGACAAAGAAGCAGGCUCCCCAGUUGGUAAAGCACCAGUUCUGGAUUGACAGUUUGGUGGACCAUGUGGUUGUGACCAUCCAAGGCUCUGUGGAAUUCUUUGAAAUAAGGGACCCUACAGAUAGAUUCCAAACUGAUGCGACAAUUCAUGGUCCCCUAGCAAAGAUCCAGUCCAUUGGUGGAAUUUAUAGAGCAUUCCUUUCUGCUCCUGUCCAUCCUGGUGAAUGGACUUUGAAACUUCAAUCCAAAAGGCAUUAUUCAGUUUACAUUCAAGGUCAGAGCACCCUCGAUUUCUUGUAUUAUUUUGCUGUUCCUGCUGAUGGACGUCACCCAGGGUUAUUCAGGCUGGAUAGUCCUCCUGUUGAAGGUUUGCCUACCUACCUGGUUAUAAUGGCAAUUGGUCUGAAUCAGAUUAAGUCAGGCUCUGUUCAGCUACAAUCGGUGAACUUAGAAGCAAGAACAGGCAGCCUUGGGGAGUUAAAAUUACAGAGAGGAGCCAAUCGAACGGACUUGUUUAUGGCCGAGCUGCCUCCAACUCUAUCAACCGCCAACAGCUUUUCUAUAGUGGUCCAUGGAGUGGAUGGUGAGGGCCAGAAGUUGGAGAGAUCUGCUCCUCAAGUUGCAACUGUCACAGAAUCCCUCCUAGAGCUGAGCAGAGAGACUCCUGUAUUCCCAGGAAAACAUGUUUCCAUCUCUUGGAAAAUCACAAAUCCUGGUGCACCUAAAAGUUAUGGACUGAAAGUGAUCACCCUUCCUCGGAUUCCAGCUGACAUCUCUAAUGCCAGACUGCAAUUAGACUUCAACCAAACAGGGACGGGACAGAUAUUCCUAAAUAUUCCUGAUACUACUCUACCUGGAUCAUUGAUUACAAUAACCUUGCAGGCCAACUCUCUCAACCCAUCUGCAGAGCCUGAUUUUGCCCAUAUCGAUCUUCUGGUGAUGCCUCAGCCUCAGGUGGAAACCACCUCACCCCCUGUAUGCAAUGUCACUUCUUCAGAGAAUUCCUGUGGUCCACCACAGUCCCCCUGUCGCAACCAACAUUGGGCAGUCACCUUGCAAAUCUGGGACAAAGCUGGUAUUCACUCGGUGCAGGUGGAAAAUGGUCCAGUGCUUCCCCACCAAGCCCAUGGGUCGGUGGAAAUAGUCACUUACACCUCAAAUUGUUGCUCACGGCAGGCAGAGCUAGUGAUCACCAACCUUCUUGGGGAGAAAUAUCCAUGUCAAGUUGAAGUAAUGCCACCUGUCCUUCCUGGCAAAACAGUAACCACACCUCCAGAGGAUUUUAGGGUGGUGGCAGAUGCUCCUGAUGCUGCUGAUAGAGCUGUUGCUCCUUCUGCCAAAAUCUGGUGGUGGAGCUCAACCAUCUUAAUGGCCAUUGUGUGGCUGGCACCAUAAGGCCGCCAUUUAUUACGUAUGGGAGAAGUUUCCAGCUGCCCUCUGCUGGAAAAUGAUGGUAUUUACCUUAUUAGAGAAUAAAGUUAAAAAGAGGAUCUGCUGAGCAGGAGCGCAAUAACUAACAUUCUAUGAGGGAAGGAAGGAAGGGAAAGGAAAGGAAAGGAAAGGAAAGGAAAGGAAAGGAAAGGAAAGGAAAGGAAAGGAAAGGAAGGAGCCCUCAAAAGACCAUUGUUAGGAUGUGACAUUGGGAGUUUACUCAGUGUGAAGGAAAAGUCACUAAAAUCCUGUAACCUGAUUGGAAGAGCUGAGUUAGAGAGAGAACAAGAAUCUUUUUUUAAAAUGGGGUAGAGCAUCCAUUAACACAACCUUGUAGUGAAGCUGGCUUUUGACCAGAUACCAGGACUCUUAAUCUAUCGGGUGGUAUUUUUUAAUACGAGUUUGCUCUCUAGUAUGAGAUGAGCUCCUUGAAAAAAAUUUUAACUGGACAUGGUAGGAUAGUUGUUCCGAUCUGUAUGCACAGGAUGGGCUAUGGGUUAUGAUUUCCCAAGAGGGAUUGUUCAAAGGCCCAUGUGGGGCCUGAACCCACAGUCUUGCUGCUAGUAAACAUAUGCUUUGAUGGACAGUUUUGGGGUUGCUAAUCCCACGGACUGACAUUGCUGACCCGCAUUUCUUGCACCAUUCCACAUCCAGGCACUCUGCAUGGUGUCUGCUGCAGUUCUCUCAGCUUCUUCAAAUGUUUCUGGACUUCACUGCAGGAGUUUACUCCUUUCUGAUCAUAGGCACAUGCUGCCAAUUGCACCUCGUUGCUCUUAACUCCCUAGAAAUGGGAUUGAUUUUGUUUUGGAGCAGCUUCUGCUAAAACAGCCUUCCCCAACCUGGUCUCUUUGAGAUUUUGUUGGAAGUCCAAGAUCCCCCCUGAGCGGGAAAGAAAUAUAACUGAAAGGCACAAGGGAAAAUUUGGGGAAAUUUGAAAUGAAGGCUCACGGAAGUUCAACCACAGUAUGCUCUGGAAAGCUGGCGGAUAUUUCCUUGUGGUACACACCAUUCCUAAAUGCAGAUACAUCUCAGUUUUACUCCACAAUAAUUGUGCUAUUGAUGUAGACAUGAUUACAGGACUGAAGACAUUUGCCAGUAAAUAAAUGAAUAAAUUUGAAGGGAAGAGAGGAACAUAACAUGGUGAUGGAUCAUGCCUAGGACUAUUCAGGAGUGAGGCCUUUGAACUAUGGUGCUGGAAAAGACUUCUGCGAGUCCCCUGGACUGCAAGGCAUUCAAACCGGUCGGAUCUCUCUUUGAUAAGCUUCCAUCUGUUACAGAAGAGACUCAAUCUCAUAACUUCUACCAAUUAGUUGCACCAAUUACAACAAAAAGGUUGUUUCCCCCUAUUCAUACCCAGAAGCAGAUUCGCAGCAUUUUGGCUCUUUGGAAGAAGCGCAGUUGGUUGAACUGCUCAUUUGAACCUCUGGUAUUUUUAUUUUAAAAUAAAAUUCUACAGCAUGGUAAAAA
This is an RNA transcript of Crotalus tigris (Tiger rattlesnake), 4761 nucleotides long. It is a transcript of the gene named von Willebrand factor A domain containing 7, with no coding region annotated. The transcript has 19 exons. Lineage: Eukaryota; Metazoa; Chordata; Lepidosauria; Squamata; Viperidae. The record is from RefSeq and is a predicted model, not a curated record.